This 111-nucleotide non-coding RNA is filed under the name Burkholderia cepacia. RNAcentral describes it as "ncS01". It matches the Rfam family "Burkholderia sRNA 1". Rfam says of the family: Identified by RNA-seq, RACE and Northern blot. Strongly expressed in biofilm. The record is from RNAcentral. Lineage: Bacteria; Pseudomonadati; Pseudomonadota; Betaproteobacteria; Burkholderiales; Burkholderiaceae.
AGUUCUGAUGCACCGCGAAACGAAUUUGCAGGUGGAGAACGAGGAGACAAUCGAGGCACAAAGUGCCCGGACCCUAAAGCGCUGUUGGACGGAAUCCAACAGCGCUUUUUC